Molecule: ribosomal RNA, 637 nt
Filed under: uncultured fungus
Lineage: Eukaryota; Fungi
Description: eukaryotic LSU rRNA
Rfam family: Eukaryotic large subunit ribosomal RNA
Source: RNAcentral
CCCGCUGAACUUAAGCAUAUCAAUAAGCGGAGGAAAAGAAACUAACAAGGAUUCCCCUAGUAACUGCGAGUGAAGCGGGAAAAGCUCAAAUUUAAAAUCUGGUGGUCUUUUUGCCCAUCCAAGUUGUAAUUUAGAGAAGCGUCUUCCGCGCUGGACCGUACACAAGUCUCCUGGAACGGAGCGUCAUAGAGGGUGAGAAUCCCGUCUUUGGUACGGACCCCCAGGGCUUCUGUGAUGCGCUCUCGAAGAGUCGAGUUGUUUGGGGAUGCAGCUCAAAAUGGGUGGUGAACUCCAUCUAAAGCUAAAUAUUGGCGAGAGACCGAUAGCGAACAAGUACCGUGAGGGAAAGAUGAAAAGCACUUUGGAAAGAGAGUUAAACAGUACGUGAAAUUGUUGAAAGGGAAACGUUUGAAGUCAGUCGCGUCGGCCGAGACUCAACCUUGCUUCUGCUCGGUGCACUUCUCGGUUGACGGGUCAGCAUCAAUUUUGACCGCCGGAUAAAGGUCGGGGGAAUGUGGCAUCCUUCGGGAUGUGUUAUAGACCUCGAUUCGGAUACGGCGAUUGGGAUUGAGGAACUCGGCGCUUCGCGUCCAGGAUGCUGGCAUAAUGGCUUUAAGCGACCCGUCUUGAAACACGG